Long non-coding RNA from Homo sapiens (human), 1371 nucleotides. RefSeq lists it as uncharacterized. Lineage: Eukaryota; Metazoa; Chordata; Mammalia; Primates; Hominidae. The transcript is spliced from 4 exons. The record is from RefSeq and is a predicted model, not a curated record.
CGCUGGAGUGUCAGAGGCUUGGGCAGGAGAUAAUUCGCCGUUGUGCUUGGAAAAUCCUGCAGUUGUACCUGCAACAGGCACCUGAGGAGGCUGGGCAAAUAUUAAUAUAUAAUACUUACUGAGUGCUUCCUAUGAACUAGGACCUCUGAGAAGAGAUUUAUGUGCAGACCUCCUCUAACCUUUCCAGCAGCCCAUGAGAUGCAAAAGAAAGACUUCUGGAUUCACAAAGCUCAUUUACUCAAAGAGGAGAUCCAAAAUAAGUGGAAAAGAUACUUACAGAGAAGUCAGGAAGAUCAUGGGUCGAUGGCGUAAAAUACAACUAAUAAGAGAAUCACCACGCAGGGUCUAUAUCAAAAGGUCAAAGACCAUGACGUCCCAGGCAUCGCCAGCCAGAAAGCUGCCAUGGAGCCUUCAUUGAACCCUUACCAUGGGACAGCCACUGAGCUAAGAGCAUUGCAUGCAUGAGCUCACAUAAUCCUCACAACACCAAAUGGAGAUAUCAUUAGCUCCAUUUCACAGAAGAAGCAAUCAAGGUUUACAGACAAUAGAGAACCUGGCAAAGUCAUCCAGCCUGUGUGUGGUAGAAGAAGAUUUGAAUUAAAUACUUUCCGCCUCCAAAGUCCUUGCUGUUAACUGAGCCGUGCUGCCUCCCAGAUGGUCACAGUCAUUGCUCCCUUCAUCUGAAUUUCCUCUUCUCUGUGCAUGCUUUUUCUCACAUGGGGCAUCAUUCUAUAUGGCCAUUCUGGGACACACUUCUUUUUAUGUCUGUACCAUCCACCAAGUCCUUGAAGUACUCUGCCACUUACUCUGCAUCCAGCUCUCAGAAAAGGCAAGAGAGACCGUGUAGAAGAUACCAUGGGAAGUUUCAAAAGUCCAGGCCUGGAAGUGGCAUUGUACAUUACAACCACCCACGUUUCAAUGGCAAAAACAAAGUCACAUGACCACAUCUACAGCAAAGGAUAUUGAAUUGUGUAGAUUGGUUUGUGUAAGACUGGAAUCAACAUUUAUCUGAAUGUUUGAUAAAUCUUUCUGAUAAAAUCAUCUAAACCAAAUUUUUUGUUAUUAGGAAAAAUUUUAACUAUUGUUUAACUAAAAAAUCAAUUACAUUAAGGUUUUUGAAAUUUAUUGGCAUAAGUAUUUUCAGAGAAAUCUCUCAUAUUUUAAAAUCUUUGCCAUGUCAAUUGUUAUGUCCUCUUUUCAUGCUUAAUUUAUUUGUGACUUCUCUUUUUUCCUCGAUCAAAAAAUCAGCUUUGGUAUUUAUUAAUCCUGAAUAUCAUUUCCUAUCUCAUUAAUUUCUUCUCAAGUCUUUAUUAUUGCCUUCCUUUGACAUUUUGGGUUUGAUAUAUUGUGACUCCUCUAAUUCUGGCAUUA